GAACGGCAGCGCGGGGCAACCUGGCGGCGAGUGGCGAACGGGUGAGUAAUAUAUCGGAACGUACCCUGGGGUGGGGGAUAACGUAGCGAAAGUUACGCUAAUACCGCAUACGAUCUAAGGAUGAAAGUGGGGGAUCGCAAGACCUCAUGCUCCUGGAGCGGCCGAUAUCUGAUUAGCUAGUUGGUGGGGUAAAGGCCUACCAAGGCAUCGAUCAGUAGCUGGUCUGAGAGGACGACCAGCCACACUGGAACUGAGACACGGUCCAGACUCCUACGGGAGGCAGCAGUGGGGAAUUUUGGACAAUGGGCGCAAGCCUGAUCCAGCAAUGCCGCGUGAGUGAAGAAGGCCUUCGGGUUGUAAAGCUCUUUUGUCAGGGAAGAAACGGUGAGGGCUAAUAUCCCUUGCUAAUGACGGUACCUGAAGAAUAAGCACCGGCUAACUACGUGCCAGCAGCCGCGGUAAUACGUAGGGUGCAAGCGUUAAUCGGAAUUACUGGGCGUAAAGCGUGCGCAGGCGGUUUUGUAAGUCUGUCGUGAAAUCCCCGGGCUCAACCUGGGAAUUGCGAUGGAGACUGCAAGGCUAGAAUCUGGCAGAGGGGGGUAGAAUUCCACGUGUAGCAGUGAAAUGCGUAGAGAUGUGGAGGAACACCGAUGGCGAAGGCAGCCCCCUGGGUCAAGAUUGACGCUCAUGCACGAAAGCGUGGGGAGCAAACAGGAUUAGAUACCCUGGUAGUCCACGCCCUAAACGAUGUCUACUAGUUGUCGGGUUUUAAUUAACUUGGUAACGCAGCUAACGCGUGAAGUAGACCGCCUGGGGAGUACGGUCGCAAGAUUA
Molecule: ribosomal RNA, 834 nt
Filed under: uncultured bacterium
Lineage: Bacteria
Description: bacterial SSU rRNA
Rfam family: Bacterial small subunit ribosomal RNA
Source: RNAcentral